GCUGAGUAUAGUGAGAAUGGGAAUUUUUACUUUGGAUAAAAGAGUUCAUGCCAAACCUAAAAUACUUUAAGACAGGAAAACCACACAUCUCUAAGGACCUAUUCUUCUCCUUGGAGAUCCUUCUAGAACUCCAAGAAUUAUUAGGUUUGGGGCUCCAGAAGACCAAACAUCCUAGAAAGCAUGUACUCUGAAUACAUGGGCAAAGCCAGGGACAUCUGUCAAUCUUCAGAGGAAAGAGAAUCAUGACAAGACUGGCUAAAGGAUAUACAACACCAAAAAGGAGAAGCAAUUUCAUUUUUCUAUUACAGUACAGCAGCAAAAAUCUUCAAGUAAACAGAUAACAGGUUUUUCUCCAUUUGUCCUUAAAAAGACUUGGAGACAGGCUGCAUAAAGUCUACAGCAGGGACAGUGUCUGUCAGCACAUUUUAAUUACAUUUAUUUUCCAUAAAUUGAAUUCUGGGGAUGCAUAAAUGGACAGUUUCUUUGUGGCUCUCCCUAAUAGAUAGGGUGAUCACACAAUUUAAUGCACAAACUAAGACAUUUUGGGAAGUAAAAAGGGAUAUUAUAAACAAUUACAGCAUGAAUACAGGCAUAAACUUGGACCUUCUCAUGUAAACCAAGAUGUGUGUUUUCCCUACUGAUUGAGAGUUAUAACUAGCAUUAGCACAGCCAACUUAACAAAAUUAUAUACUAGGGUAUAAAAAAAUAGACAUUAUGCGUGACAAGCUCCCUUUAACUUUUGAAGAUCUGCAACUAUACUACAGUGAGGCCUCAAUAGAAUAAUGAAAUUCUCUGGUCCAACUGUUUUAUCCUAAAAUUCAAAGAUGGUAAAGCCAAUGCAGAACAUGGAGGAAAGAGUGGAGUCAAGAUAACAUGGAGGAAAGAGUGGAGUCAAGAUAGAAGAAAACAACAAAAACAGCAAUAUCAACACAUGCUAUAAUAAGCGUAUGAAAUAAUUCUAGUGAUUGAUGUGAAGGCAGUACAAUGAGGAACCAAAGAAAUUAAAGACCUCAGAUUUUAUGGUACUGAGAUAAGCUACACUGACAAACACAGGAUAUGCCUUGUUGGAUCCCAGCAGGCUGUGAAAAUACUACUACAGGAAUUCUGUUUCAAUUUCAACCAGGCUACAUUUUCAUGUAAGGCUCAGUUUAAAUGUAAUCCUAUUUGGGUGAGGAAGAAAUCAUGCCUCUUGCAAUGGCAAAACUAUGAGGUUUCCAUUCACAGAUAAGAAGUCCAAGAAAAUUCAGGAUUUUUCUCGAAUAAUUCUUACUCCAUCCUCCCUACUGCGGCCUUAAUUCAGGCACAUAAUUUUCACGUGGUUAAACCCAAUGGCCUUUUGCAUGGCCUUCUUACCUACUGUACCCGCAGAGUUUGGUAUUCACGGGAGGUCCUGGAACCAAUCCCCCACCGAUACCAAGGGAGGAUGGAACUCCAUUCUCAGAAAACACAAGAUUUCAAACCUUAGUGCUUGGACCACCACCUUGCCCUUGUUCCUUUGUAAAGGGUGUCAUUAAUGUAUUUCCAAAGGAUGGCUACUACCAUUACCAUCUAAAAAAAAAUGAACUUGUUUGGACAGAG
Molecule: non-coding RNA, 1578 nt
Organism: Microcebus murinus (gray mouse lemur)
Lineage: Eukaryota; Metazoa; Chordata; Mammalia; Primates; Cheirogaleidae
Source: RefSeq, a predicted model, not a curated record